Marmota marmota marmota (Alpine marmot) is the source of this 128-nucleotide small nucleolar RNA. Lineage: Eukaryota; Metazoa; Chordata; Mammalia; Rodentia; Sciuridae. The record is from Ensembl.
GGCCUCCUGAUGCUUACCACAGACUAUGUUCUUAGACUGUGUAGAAAAAGGAGACACAGCAAACAUACCCCAUGCACAAAUCAGCCAGUGACAUGGGCCUGAUCUAUAUUGUGAAUGGGGGGAGGAGG